UAGUACGGCGAGUGAAGAGGGAAGAGCCCAAGAUUGAAAGCUGGCGUCUUCGGCGUCCGCAUUGUAAUCUCAAGAAGUGUUUUCCGCUUCGGACCAAGCCUAAGUCCCCUGGAAAGGGGCAUCAUAGAGGGUGAUAAUCCCGUACAUGGCUUGGAGCGCCCGAGGCUUUGUGAUACGCUUUCUAAGAGUCGAGUUGUUUGGGAAUGCAGCUCAAAAUGGGUGGUAAAUGCCAUCUAAGGCUAAAUAUUGGGGAGAGACCGAUAGCGAACAAGUACAGUGAUGGAAAGAUGAAAAGAACUUUGAAAAGAGAGUUAAACAGUACGUGAAAUUGCCAAAAGGGAAGGGUAGGAGGUCAGAGAUGCGGCCUGGGAUUCAGCCUUGCUUUUGCUUGGUGUUUUUCCCAGAUUGCAGGCCAACGUCGGUUUUGGGCACUGGAGAAGGGUAGGAGGAACGUGGCACCUCUCGGGGUGUGUUAUAGCCUCCUACUGGAUACAGCGACCGAGACCGAGGACAGCAGCGUACUCGCAAGAGCGGGCCUUCGGGCACCUUUACGCUUAGGGCGUUGGCAUAAUGGCCCUCUACCACCCGUCUUGA
This 594-nucleotide ribosomal RNA is filed under the name uncultured Pseudozyma. RNAcentral describes it as "LSU rRNA". It matches the Rfam family "Eukaryotic large subunit ribosomal RNA", at positions 81 to 657 of the family's 3401-position model. The record is from RNAcentral. Lineage: Eukaryota; Fungi; Basidiomycota; Ustilaginomycetes; Ustilaginales; Ustilaginaceae.